Molecule: transfer RNA, 63 nt
Filed under: Cavia porcellus (domestic guinea pig)
Lineage: Eukaryota; Metazoa; Chordata; Mammalia; Rodentia; Caviidae
Rfam family: tRNA
About the family: Transfer RNA (tRNA) molecules are approximately 80 nucleotides in length. Their secondary structure includes four short double-helical elements and three loops (D, anti-codon, and T loops).
Source: Rfam by way of RNAcentral
GGGGAUUUAGCUCAGUGGCACAGCACCUGCCUGGCAAGCAUGAAGCCCUGAGUUCAAUUUCCA